GUGGGUAGUUUGACUGGGGCGGUCUCCUCCCAAAGCGUAACGGAGGAGCACGAAGGUUAGCUAAUCCUGGUCGGACAUCAGGAGGUUAGUGCAAUGGCAUAAGCUAGCUUGACUGCGAGCGUGACGGCGCGAGCAGGUGCGAAAGCAGGUCAUAGUGAUCCGGUGGUUCUGAAUGGAAGGGCCAUCGCUCAACGGAUAAAAGGUACUCCGGGGAUAACAGGCUGAUACCGCCCAAGAGUUCAUAUCGACGGCGGUGUUUGGCACCUCGAUGUCGGCUCAUCACAUCCUGGGGCUGAAGUAGGUCCCAAGGGUAUGGCUGUUCGCCAUUUAAAGUGGUACGCGAGCUGGGUUUAGAACGUCGUGAGACAGUUCGGUCCCUAUCUGCCGUGGGCGCUGGAGAAUUGAGGGGGGCUGCUCCUAGUACGAGAGGACCGGAGUGGACGCAUCACUGGUGUUCGGGUUGUCAUGCCAAUGGCACUGCCCGGUAGCUAAAUGCGGAAGAGAUAAGUGCUGAAAGCAUCUAAGCACGAAACUUGCCCCGAGAUGAGUUCUCCCUGAGACUAUAAGUCUCCUGAAGGAACGUUGAAGACGACGACGUUGAUAGGCCGGGUGUGUAAGCGCAGCGAUGCGUUGAGCUAACCGGUACUAAUGAACCGUGAGGCUUAACCUU
RNAcentral lists this ribosomal RNA (670 nucleotides) under Klebsiella quasipneumoniae subsp. similipneumoniae. RNAcentral describes it as "partial 23S ribosomal RNA". It matches the Rfam family "Bacterial large subunit ribosomal RNA", at positions 2261 to 2925 of the family's 2925-position model. The record is from RNAcentral. RNAcentral also lists the same sequence under 2 other names. Lineage: Bacteria; Pseudomonadati; Pseudomonadota; Gammaproteobacteria; Enterobacterales; Enterobacteriaceae.